UCUCAUUAAAAGUUAUGUAUCUUUGUACCUUGUUCUUAAAAUAUGAAUUAUUUGAAUUGUUCGGGGUAGCUUAUCCUGAAAUCUGCCUUAUGCCAUAUUGUUUCAAGUGUCACAGCAUUGUGUUUUGCUUGUUCCUCGUACCUCUUCUUCAUGAGAUUAGUAAGUAGUACCCUAACUAUGUUGAAGCAGUUACUGAAUGAAAAGGCUGUGAAAUGUACUCAGUCCUAAACCCCUAAUUAAUUAAUACUAUAUUUGUAGCAAAGCAAAGGGCCAGAGGAAAGCAUGUGAGUAUAAUAAGAAGAAAUGAUCUGAUGCCUAUGUUUGCAUAUAGAAAAGUGAACAAAUAGAAUCUUGAGAAGGUGGUGUACUAGCUAUAUGUCCACUGUGGGAAUGGCCUUGUUACAUAUUGCCCAUUUGGUCUCAUAGGCACAUGUAAAGUAAAACGAGAAAAUUGAAGGAAGAAAGUGUUUAAAUGGGAAUUCAAUUAGUAAAGCUAAACUAAAC
RNAcentral lists this long non-coding RNA (504 nucleotides) under Vigna radiata. RNAcentral describes it as "long non-coding RNA (VRAD_LNC003371)". The record is from RNAcentral. Lineage: Eukaryota; Viridiplantae; Streptophyta; Magnoliopsida; Fabales; Fabaceae.